UGGAAAAUACAGAAACAAAUGUGGUCAUUUAUAUGCAGCCUCAAUGUAUGACUCCUAUGAUAGUGCUUAAUUAAGAGAACCCAUACAGCAUGGACCAACUUUUAGUUAAAAACAUUAUCACUAGCAAAUGUAGAGAAUCAGAUCAAAUGAUCUUUUCAAAUUUAUGAAACAAUUGAUUUUGUAGUUUGGAGAAACCAAAAACAGAAAUAGAACAGUGGAAAAAAUACAAAUCACUGUACAAACAAGAAAUUGUCGUUUUUCUGUUGCACACAAUUGUAAUUAAGUUUGGUAAAAAGAUACAGUCAUCUGAUACAAUAUAACUCUUCCCCACAAAUUUAGAGAUCUUUUGAGAAAUUUUCAGACACAUGUAGCUUAGCUCACAAGAUUCUCAAUUAAAAUUAUCCUUCACAUAUACAUCCUAGCUUAGCUCACAAGAUUCUCAAUUAAAAUUAUCCUUCACAUACACAUCAUCCUAAUACACACAGAUUCUAUCAUGGCCAACCCAAAUGCCUGCUUGCAGUAAAAUGCCAAAGAACAGCAAUACUAUGAAAUGAUUACAUCCCUAUCAAAUAUGUAAGCAAACAAGGUUUUCAUUUUGAAUUAUUCCCUGAUUCUGGAGGACAAGAAGAAAGGAAAGGAUCUGACACAUUUUAUAACCACAUCUAUUGGGGGUAAUAAGACAUGUGCAAUGCAUGUUCUAAGAAAAAUAACAGACACUUUGCAACAGAAGUACGAUGUGUUAAUGGUGAUAACUGCAGCAUAGAUGGACAGAAAUGUGAUGUAAAAAGCACACUAAGCAUCCCUCCCUGCUACAUGAGCGAAGGUAGGAAACAUCGCCCCAGUAAAAGAAUAUCUUCUUUUUCCCCAGUCCAAGCAACUAAGUACUUAUGCAUGUAUAUUCAUCCCGGCCAUGGUUUAAAACUAAUUACUUACCCACAGUGAUGACUAAGAAGAUAUCAGAUCUUGAGAACCUUUAACACUUGUGUAGCAAAAGUGUUGUGAAUUAUAUAGUUCAGAGUUGUAGCAUAUUGCUUAGUUAAUUUACCUAGCUAACACUGACCACAAUUAACUAGAAGCUCGAAAGUUUGUGGGAAUUUAUCGGUAUCCAGUAGUUUAUUUACCUUGUUAACAAUGACCACAGUUAAUGAGAAGCUGGAAAGUUUGUGGGCAUUUGUCAGAAGAGCAAUUUCUGAGCACAAGUAUCAGUGCAUUAGCAGACAUUUUGAAAAAAUAUAGUCAGGAUUAAGCAGCCCAUUUACUUGCUAUGAUGGCACGGUUGCUCAAAACAUCAAGGAUAUGGAUGAAAUUUUCUUUUAGGAGUGCUGCAUGCACAAUGGUAAGUCACCUGCUCUGCGUUCGUAUGUUGCCUCCAUCCAUAUAUCCAAUCUUGUAAUAACAAAGUUCUGCUUCUUAGUUUGUACAGUUCGUACCAAACAUCUUUCAGUAUAACUAGGAUGAUUACCACAUUACCCUUUUACAGCAUAUUACAGCGCUUAGACGACCAACAUAUUAUGUUAGCAUAUAAGUAACUCUGGAUGAGGAUACAUAUAACAUAAUUCAUAGUCAUGGAUUCAUUAUACAGCCAAAAAAAAAUUCACGAAGCUAUUAAAAAUACGUCCAAAUGAUUUAUUUAAGAAACUUUCGGAAUUUAAGGCCCCCUUGUAGAAUAAGAUCUUUAUUUAGCUUGUAAGUAAGAGUUCCAUCCUGAAAAGAAUCUAUUGAGAGGUCAAGAGAAUGGUUAGGUGCAAACACUGCAACAUGUGUACUGCACUAGAAAUAUAUCCUUUACAGCACAAUUUGCACUGAAUAUUUCAACUUAAAAUUGAGGGCUAAAUGUAAUGCCUAACUGUAUUCACAUUAACCAUUCAGGUCUCUCCUGAUCUCUUAUCACCAUCAAUUAGCUCGACAAUCGAACAAACGAAGAGAAAUAAGCAACCGAUGCGUUCAAUCCUAGACAGCACUACACCAACAUGGAACCCCCUUAUCCAAUCCAAUUAGCACGGAAAAUCAAGCAACACAGGCGAUUCUCGAAGGGGAGUUAACUACCUG
This 2049-nucleotide long non-coding RNA is filed under the name Setaria italica (foxtail millet). RNAcentral's name for it is "long non-coding RNA (SITA_LNC002434)". Lineage: Eukaryota; Viridiplantae; Streptophyta; Magnoliopsida; Poales; Poaceae. The record is from RNAcentral.